CCUUUAGGAUUAACACUAUUUACCACAGUAACUCUAGUUUUACUAGAGUGUUUAUUGGGCCAACAAGGCUUCACGUAGAUGGGCUUCUCUAUGGGUUCCACGAGUCAAGCCAGUUCAUGUGGGUUAAAUGAGCCCCCAUUUAAUAUUUUGACCUCUAUGGGACAUUUUGUGUAACAACCCGUUUUCAGUAAAAUCGAAACAGUGGUUUCAAGACCACAAAUUUGACUUAAAAGUAUUUAUGUUUGUAAUGGUCAAUUUUUGGCCCGGACAAACAAAACAAUAACAAAACCCAAAACAAUAAAAAAGAGCCCAAAUAACAGCCCACUAAUCUUAAGAAUUUUCAGCAGCCAACCCUAGCCCCAAGCCUCCAGCCGCCGCUCCCCACGUGCUCGGGCAGCACGUUCAACGCUCGGCCACCACACCUCGCGUAUGCCCUCCUCCUCAAUGCGCCUGACACUCCCAUAACCUGCAAACUUUUGGAAAAGAGGAAAAGAUGGCAGCAAGAAGCACAAGCAGUAGCAGAGAAUAAGACAAACAAUAUUUUAAUAUGGGAAUCGGCUAUAAAGCCGAAAUGAAACUGAUUGUAAAGGGGGAUUUCGAUAUACAAAAAUUGUAUUACGCAUGUUAAGUAAUCAAAAACAAAAUACAAGCAAAAAGGUUGAGAUUAAUCUCCUGUUUCAUUUUCUAUUGUUUUCUAGUUUCUGUUAUUUCAUUUAUAUUUAUUAUUAUUAUUUCUUAUUUUCUUUUACAAAUCUAUUAAACAAAACGAAUAAAAAGAAAAAGGAAGAGAAGAAAGCCUCACCGGAAACGCCCGUGGCUUCACCAUCAGAGAUUUCUCCUCCGUCGUUGGGGCUAAAAAGGGGUGGGGAUCCUUUCUUUCGUUUCUUUUCGAGUAAAAGGGCUAGGCUCAUGAACUUCUUUUGGAACGCGGCCUUUCGGGUUCACCUGGAAUGGGGCUAAAGAGUCCUUUUCGUGCAACGCCGGCC
RNAcentral lists this long non-coding RNA (986 nucleotides) under Gossypium barbadense (sea-island cotton). RNAcentral describes it as "long non-coding RNA (GBAR_LNC008879)". The record is from RNAcentral. Lineage: Eukaryota; Viridiplantae; Streptophyta; Magnoliopsida; Malvales; Malvaceae.